UUCUUUGAUGAUUUUCACAGUAAUACAGUUGCUUUCGAAGGCAUCAACACUGCGUUCAUUACACUGCUGCCAAAGAAGGAUACACCUUUGGAGUUGAGAGACUACAUGCCUAUCUCUCUGGUCCAUAGUGCACCCAAACUGGUUUCUAAGGUCCUGACAAAUCGGUUCAAAAAGAGGAUUCCUUCU
This 186-nucleotide ribosomal RNA is filed under the name Triticum aestivum (bread wheat). RNAcentral describes it as "partial small subunit ribosomal RNA". Lineage: Eukaryota; Viridiplantae; Streptophyta; Magnoliopsida; Poales; Poaceae. The record is from RNAcentral.